UGGGGAAUCUUCCGCAAUGGACGAAAGUCUGACGGAGCAACGCCGCGUGUAUGAUGAAGGUCUUCGGAUUGUAAAGUACUGUCAUUGGGGAAGAACGGUUUUCUUGAGAAUAUUGAGAAGACAUGACGGUACCCAAGGAGGAAGCCCCGGCUAACUACGUGCCAGCAGCCGCGGUAAUACGUAGGGGGCAAGCGUUGUCCGGAAAUUAUUGGGCGUAAAGGGCGCGUAGGCGGGCCUUUAAGUCCGGUGUGAAAGAUCAGGGGCUCAACCCUGAGAGUGCAUCGGAAACUGGAGGCCUUGAGGACAGGAGAGGAAAGUGGAAUUCCACGUGUAGCGGUGAAAUGCGUAGAUAUGUGGAGGAACACCAGUGGCGAAAGGCGACUUUCUGGACUGUAACUGACGCUGAGGCGCGAAAGCGUGGGGAGCAAACAGGAUUAGAUACCCUGGUAGUCCACGCCGUAAAACGAUGAGUGCU
RNAcentral lists this ribosomal RNA (475 nucleotides) under uncultured bacterium. RNAcentral's name for it is "partial 16S ribosomal RNA". It matches the Rfam family "Bacterial small subunit ribosomal RNA", at positions 355 to 817 of the family's 1533-position model. The record is from RNAcentral.